RNAcentral lists this ribosomal RNA (327 nucleotides) under uncultured eukaryote. Its description in RNAcentral is "partial 18S ribosomal RNA". It matches the Rfam family "Eukaryotic small subunit ribosomal RNA", at positions 1470 to 1796 of the family's 1831-position model. The record is from RNAcentral.
CCCUUAGAUGUUCUGGGCCGCACGCGCGCUACACUGAUGCAUGCAACGAGUUCUAUCCUUGGCCGGAAGGCCUGGGUAAUCUGUGAACGUGCAUCGUGAUAGGGAUAGAUUAUUGCAAUUAUUAAUCUUGAACGAGGAAUUCCUAGUAAACGCAAGUCAUCAGCUUGCGUUGAUUACGUCCCUGCCCUUUGUACACACCGCCCGUCGCUCCUACCGAUUGAAUGGUCCGGUGAAGCGUUCGGACCGUGGCCUUUGGACGGUUCGCCGUCUGUUGGCUGCGGGAAGUUCGUUAAACCUUAUCAUUUAGAGGAAGGAGAAGUCGUAACA